RNAcentral lists this ribosomal RNA (1040 nucleotides) under Enterococcus faecium. RNAcentral describes it as "bacterial SSU rRNA". It matches the Rfam family "Bacterial small subunit ribosomal RNA", at positions 56 to 1067 of the family's 1533-position model. Lineage: Bacteria; Bacillati; Bacillota; Bacilli; Lactobacillales; Enterococcaceae. The record is from RNAcentral.
UGCAGUCGUACGCUUCUUUUUCCACCGGAGCUUGCUCCACCGGAAAAAGAGGAGUGGCGAACGGGUGAGUAACACGUGGGUAACCUGCCCAUCAGAAGGGGAUAACACUUGGAAACAGGUGCUAAUACCGUAUAACAAUCGAAACCGCAUGGUUUUGAUUUGAAAGGCGCUUUCGGGUGUCGCUGAUGGAUGGACCCGCGGUGCAUUAGCUAGUUGGUGAGGUAACGGCUCACCAAGGCCACGAUGCAUAGCCGACCUGAGAGGGUGAUCGGCCACAUUGGGACUGAGACACGGCCCAAACUCCUACGGGAGGCAGCAGUAGGGAAUCUUCGGCAAUGGACGAAAGUCUGACCGAGCAACGCCGCGUGAGUGAAGAAGGUUUUCGGAUCGUAAAACUCUGUUGUUAGAGAAGAAUAAGGAUGAGAGUAACUGUUCAUCCCUUGACGGUAUCUAACCAGAAAGCCACGGCUAACUACGUGCCAGCAGCCGCGGUAAUACGUAGGUGGCAAGCGUUGUCCGGAUUUAUUGGGCGUAAAGCGAGCGCAGGCGGUUUCUUAAGUCUGAUGUGAAAGCCCCCGGCUCAACCGGGGAGGGUCAUUGGAAACUGGGAGACUUGAGUGCAGAAGAGGAGAGUGGAAUUCCAUGUGUAGCGGUGAAAUGCGUAGAUAUAUGGAGGAACACCAGUGGCGAAGGCGGCUCUCUGGUCUGUAACUGACGCUGAGGCUCGAAAGCGUGGGGAGCAAACAGGAUUAGAUACCCUGGUAGUCCACGCCGUAAACGAUGAGUGCUAAGUGUUGGAGGGUUUCCGCCCUUCAGUGCUGCAGCUAACGCAUUAAGCACUCCGCCUGGGGAGUACGACCGCAAGGUUGAAACUCAAAGGAAUUGACGGGGGCCCGCACAAGCGGUGGAGCAUGUGGUUUAAUUCGAAGCAACGCGAAGAACCUUACCAGGUCUUGACAUCCUUUGACCACUCUAGAGAUAGAGCUUCCCCUUCGGGGGCAAAGUGACAGGUGGUGCAUGGUUGUCGUCAGCUCGUGUCG